ACUCCUACGGGAGGCAGCAGUGGGGAAUAUUGCACAAUGGGCGCAAGCCUGAUGCAGCCAUGCCGCGUGUGUGAAGAAGGCCUUCGGGUUGUAAAGCACUUUCAGUCGUGAGGAAGGUGGUAGUGUUAAUAGCACUAUCAUUUGACGUUAGCGACAGAAGAAGCACCGGCUAACUCCGUGCCAGCAGCCGCGGUAAUACGGAGGAUCCAAGCGUUAUCCGGAAUCAUUGGGUUUAAAGGGUCCGUAGGUGGAUGAUUAAGUCAGAGGUGAAAUCCUGCAGCUCAACUGUAGAAUUGCCUUUGAUACUGGUUGUCUUGAAUUAUUGUGAAGUAGUUAGAAUAUGUGGUGUAGCGGUGAAAUGCAUAGAUAUCACAUAGAAUACCGAUUGCGAAGGCAGAUUACUAACAAUACAUUGACACUGAUGGACGAAAGCGUGGGGAGCGAACAGGAUUAGAUACCCUGGUAGGCUCUG
Molecule: ribosomal RNA, 472 nt
Filed under: uncultured bacterium
Lineage: Bacteria
Description: bacterial SSU rRNA
Rfam family: Bacterial small subunit ribosomal RNA
Source: RNAcentral